Molecule: long non-coding RNA, 244 nt
Filed under: Elaeis guineensis (African oil palm)
Lineage: Eukaryota; Viridiplantae; Streptophyta; Magnoliopsida; Arecales; Arecaceae
Description: long non-coding RNA (EGUI_LNC081703)
Source: RNAcentral
AAAAUGGGAUCAAAAAUUCAAGUACGGAGAUAAGAUCUCCUGGUCGAUAAAAAUCGAGCCAAAAAGCAAGUAUGGAGAUGAGAUCUUCUGAUCGAUGAAAAUCGAAUUGAACAUUCAAGUAUAGAAAUAAGAUCUCCUGAUCGGUAAAUGAUUGAGUCAAAAAGCAAAUGCGGAGAUAAGAUCUCCUGAUCGAUCAAAAUCGGAUCGAAAAUUCAAGUGUGGAGAUAAGAUCUCCUAGUCGGUG